Molecule: long non-coding RNA, 1759 nt
Filed under: Phascolarctos cinereus (koala)
Lineage: Eukaryota; Metazoa; Chordata; Mammalia; Diprotodontia; Phascolarctidae
Description: lncRNA (ENSPCIG00000013976.2)
Source: RNAcentral
AGGAGCACCGAGUACCCGGGAUCUAACAAUGGAAUGAACAGUCCGGAGGCUCCUGGGUUCACCAUUUCCCAUUUCUUCUGAGUUUUCUGAGUUUCCAGAGGACAGAGGAGUACUGCUUUCUGUCUUCUCCCCAGUACAAGGAAGAUUAGCUGUCAAGUCAAGACAGGGCUGGACCCCAAACCAUAGCUUAGGGACUUUGGAAGGCUUGGCAAGGCCAAGCUGCCAGACGACCCAAGGGGGAAGGAAGGUUGCGAGUGUGUUGGAGAGUUGGGGGGAGGGGAAGGAAAAGGGGGGAAACGAUCGUCACCUUGGCAACUCUGGUCCCUGGGGAACGGGCUGGGCAGGGGCUAGAGCUAGUCUGACGGCCCCGAUGGCAGCGGUCGGGGGAGGGGAGCCUCCUCUCCCUCCUCGCACCCCUUCCCCCCACGUGGCUCCCCAGCAGGGAGCCCUGCGCGGGUCCCCCAGGGGAAAGUUGCAGGGGCGGGGACAAAGCCCCGGCUCGGGGAGCCAACAUCCCCCAACGCCGCCCUCCCGCAUCCCCGCCCAGGUACCUGGGUGCCGUCCCCGCCGCCGCCGCCGCCGCGUCCUCCUCCUCCUUCCAAUGCUGGGGGUGCUGUUGCAGGCAGGCGUUGUUACCUACCAGCCGUGGCAGUGGCCGCAGCAGCAGCAGCAGCAGUAACAGCAACAGCAACACCAGCAGCAGCAGCAGCGGCAGCAGCAGCCUGCGCCCCAGAUCCGUUAGCUCCGCCGGCCCCCUCCGCUCGCCGCCGCCGCCGCCGCCAAUGUGAAAUGAAGCCACUAUGGCCAAGCGGUCUGCAGUGCACCGAGCCACGUCGUUGGUACCUGCAUCCCGAAGGAGGUUGGAGAGCAGUGAAGUUGAAACGCAAACUUGGCCGGGGGUGGGGGCCCCCGCUCAGCAAUGAAGUACACCAGCUGUUGUGCAGCUGCCUCCUGGCCCGGGGUAGCGAAGCCAGCGUGCGCUUAAAGACCGUACAAUUCCAUUUCAGAAAGGGUCUCCAUCCCACCCCACCCGGGCUUCCUGGGCUCGGGAUCGUCCCCCUCCCCCCCAAUCCCGGCCUACAGCCUCACUACACCCAGGCAGGGGGUGGGAGGUGGGGUGGGGGGAACUAAUCCGAUCUAACCCACAAAGACCAAGGAAUCUGGAGCUGGGGUUGGCCAGGUGCCCAGAGUUCUGAAAGCUGGAUUGGACAGAGGAGUGAAUGAGGCUCGGGCCCAAGGCUGGGGGCCCCACUGCAACGGAAGGAGAGAAGUGUCUCCAAGGGAUCUGGUACCAAAUGAAGAAAUCAGAGAACAGACUUGGAGGUCGAGUUAAACCUAUGUUGUUCUUGUACCAGCCUGAGGUUCUUUGUGCCUCAAUUUCCCUUAAAAAAAAAAGACUAAUAAUUUCCACCCUUGCCCUCGUGGAUUUGUCAUGCCUCAAACACUUCGGAAGAAUAGUGCUCCAUGAAGCAAUUUAGGGGAUUGUUGUUAUUCUAGCAUGGGAGUCUCCCCAACUACCCCUUCUUUGACAUAGUCAAUCCCUCCAGCCCCUGAGAGCAGGGUCCUUUUCUCCUCUUUCCUUGAGAAACUUUCUGCACCUAAUAUAUGUCUCUGCCUACAAUAGGCAUUUCUGCUGUAGAUUUUGAGCUGGAAGAGACCUUAGAAGCCAUCGACUCAUUUUGCAAUAAGCAGACUAAGGCUUAAAUGACUUGCCCAGGGUCACACAGCUAAUAAAUGGGUGAAGUGAAAUUUGAACUCA